GCUGGCUGGAAGGACACACGAGGGAGGCAGAUGACACCCGCUUGGUCCUGUCUUCCCGGCUAUAAGGGUGUUACCCUGGAGAUCUCGGGGAUGGACCCAGCAAAGCAGACCUCAGAGAAGUGGACACAGUGAGAGCCGAGCAAGCCCUGAGCCCCUGGAGAGCCAAGGCCGAGAAUAAACCACCAGCUCCCUGGGAGCUCCUGAUUGUGCAUGAUGUUCAUGAGUCUCUGGCUCCCCUGAGUGGCAAAGAAAAUAAAUUCACGUCUCCAGGAUUCCAGCUCUCUGCACAAGGAUGAUCAUUUCCACUAUUUAUUUACUCCCCUGCUCUCCAGUCUCCGGAGGAACCAAGUCUAUCCUCAGCCCGGGAUCAAGCCUACAGCCUCCUGACGUGCCGCUAAGUCCUCUACCACCAUGUCACCCCCCAGCUCUACACUGCAUCUCUCUAUCUCUUACUCCAGCAGGCAGCCUACUUUAAGUGUUGACAAUGAUGACCUUUGGAUGGCUGCUAACACUUUUUCAGAGUGCCUGUUCGUGGGAGGAAUUCCACAGGCAUUAGCUCUGUGAAUGCAUGAAUGCAUCAACUCAGGAAACUUCCAGGGCUGGCUGAUCAGAGAGGGUGGCUGGCUCAUUCAUGCAUGAUACUACAACAUUCUUUUGGAAAAUUUAUGAUGUCAGUGUAGCUGUUCAUCCACAGGGCACAUGCAUAAUGAAUGUGUUUUAUUUUGUUUUGUUUUUAUUCCCAGAGACAAGGUUUGUCUGUGUAGCUCUGACUGUCCUGGAAAUCACUCUAUAGACCAGG
Myodes glareolus (Bank vole) is the source of this 799-nucleotide long non-coding RNA. RefSeq lists it as uncharacterized. The record is from RefSeq and is a predicted model, not a curated record. Lineage: Eukaryota; Metazoa; Chordata; Mammalia; Rodentia; Cricetidae.